UUACCUGUAAUACGCAUUUUGUUAUUUGCUGAUUGAAACUGCUAAUUAAACUGUGAAUUGAAACUAAUAGGAAGAAAACAACUCUCGCUCUUUAUAUAGCUGACGUGUCUUGCGCAUCCGUUCUGUGCAUUUUAUUUCACAACACUUUGCCUUUCUUCUCUGCUGUUCACUUCAAACACGCUCCAUGCGACCGCAAUGCUCUCGUAUCAGACGCUUGCUCGAUCACCUGCUCGUUUGCUGUCCCGUGCGCGCACGAAGCGCGGUGGUGCGUUUACGGGCAGUCGGAGAAAUCAACGGCAACAAAAAAAAUUACAUCCAGCCUAGUUAAGACCAUACCAAAGACUAUAAAAAUGGGACCCAUUGCCUCCCUGCGUGUGUGACGAUCAUUGGGACUUAAAAAAAAAAAAAAAAAAAAAUUUAAAAAAAAAAUUUUUUUUUUUUUUUUGUACCCAUGUAUAAUGCGCACCCCAGAUUUUAGGACAAUAAAUUAGUUAAAUUUUGCGCACUAUACACGGAAAAAAACGGUACAUCAGAUGGCCCCUUUGUCCACAGCUUGUCAGGAAGCCCAGCCAAUUCCUCCUCCUCCUUUUCAUUCAAACAACUGUUAACUAGUCAGGGACGCGCAUACGCUCCUGCCCUACCAACACCUACUUCACACACAGUUCGCUUCCACAUGUCACAACUGGUACUGUAGCUCCACCCAUCAACUUUAUCCUCAUAAUCAGUGACAGAAUCAGCAAGUUUAAUCCGGCAACCCACAUCUGCCCAUGUUAUACUGUGAGGUUUAAACAAUGGAAUGUGGGGUACAGCCGACAACUUGUAUUUGUCAUCCUGAGGAGCGGGUAGAAGCACAGCAGCAGCUGCAAAUGACCUGCGAUCAGUGUACAGAGCAGUGAUUGUUAAAGUUACUUCUGUGUCACUGAGAAAACUUUCAAUAUAGUCAUCUUGUGGAUCAGUGAGGAUGUUCAUGGUGACAUGUAAGUCAUCACAAGUCAUUUCCGAUUCAGGUCGUGUCAAUUGUUUUCGGGCUUCACUCAGCAAAUUGCCUGGUAGCUUGAGAUUCUGUUCAGCAGAGACGUCAUAAGAACAGAAAAUCCGCUCACCUGCUUGUGCAGCAUAUGAGUCCACAUCUCUCACUCUACAUGCUCGCAUGCCAUCCUUUACUGGAAUUAUUGCAAUUCCCAAUCUAGUCAUCAGAUCUCGUCCCAGAAGGUUUAUGGGACAUUUUGGGGAUAGCACAAUCGAGACUGAAGCUAUGACUCCCGUUUCAUCAUCUCUCACUACAACUGGAUUGGAGAUACUCUCCCUGUGUACCUGCCCAUCAGCAGAUUUUACCCAAAUAGUAUUUUGGGAGGCCUUUAGAUUUGGGACUUUAGUUUUUAUUACGGUCUUACACGCUCCGGUAUCACACAAAAACGCUACUUCACUUCCUCCAAUGUUUAAGGUAACAUAUGGUUUUUCUUUUAAUGCAUUCAAAAUGUCCCAUGCUGCAUGGACAUCUACUAUCUCUUCCUCCGUAGGAGGACAAGAGAUCACAGGGGGGCAAUCUAGUCAUGCUGAGAAUUUGGCUCUUCCUCUGCCCCUUCCUCCACCCUUUGAUUGGUGUCGUUUUGCCUGACGACACUCUCUUGCGAAGUGUCCUCGCCUCCCACAGUUCCAACAGGUCUCUGAAUCUGGUGGGGGUUUUGAAUUAUGUGGAGGCCUGCGACCCUGUUGGCCUCUACCUCUUCCUCUGGCCUGCUGGGACCCAUGAAAGAAGACUGUUGUAUCUUCAUCUAGGUCAGUGCUUCUCAAUUAUUUUCUGUUACGCCCCCCCCUAGCAAGAAGAAAACUUUUCGCGCCCCCCCCUCCCCACCGUGACUAUCCUAACUUGUCUUGUAAAUCGUAAAAUGUUGCACUGUCGCAAACGUCACAGAAGUAACAAUGAGAGCACCACUGCCCCCUGCUGGGAAGAUGCGCAAUUACACUUUAUUCUAGUACUGCAAAAAAAAAGCCUGUUCCCCAGGGUCACACGCGCCCCCCCAGGUAUAGCACGGCGCCCCCCAAGGGGGGCGCGCCCCACUAUUUGAGAAGCACUGAUCUAGGUGAACAUCAUCAUCAUCGUCUAGAUCAGGGGUGGGCAAACUACGGCCCGCGGGCCACAUCCGGCCCACGGGACCGUUUAAUCCGGCCCGCCGACCCUGAACAAAUUGUAUUAUUAAACUUUUUUUUUUUUUUGGUCAUUUUGCCUGCAAUGACUGCGUUUCCCCAGUAGAUGGCGAAGCGCUCGCCUGCGCAUUCACUACCGGAAGCCGUGUCAGAAAGCUUGGCGCACACUCACAAGUGCGUGUACGUACUCAGUAGUACGGACAUGGCGCACUCUCGCUCUAUUCGUAUCAGUCCCGAAUUUAGAUCGUGGGCUGUGACAUCUGCAUUCUUGUAAUUCGCGCGCUGAGCUUUCAGAUGCAGUUUUGCGCUAAAGCCGCCCACAAACCUUCCCCUGGAAUCCUUCCAUUAAAAUGAGUCGCCCAAGGAAAAGCAGUGCCGAGCGUUUAAAAGAGAGUGGCCAAUUUGGCUCGACGUACGCGACGUGACGUUCAGCCACAUCAACAUCAACCCAUCACAGAUCGAGAUACCCCUCACCGUGUUGCUGUUUUGAUGACUUUAUUUGGAUGUAUGCUUUCACCGAUUCUUCAAGAUGAUAUAUUUGGUCAGAAUGUUUGCCGUUUGAUGUGAUCUCAUAAGAUAAACAUCUUUCAUUAAUCUGACCUGCAGGCACUGAAGUGAUGGAGACUGUUAUUCAUAAUAACAGUGUCGAAUUUUAUGAGAAUCAGCAGUUUUUUAGUGAAUUAUUAUUAAAAAAAAUUUAAUGCUGUUAAUAAAUGCAUUUGUUUUCAAAAAACUUGUUUGGAAUAUCCAUGCUUUACUACCUACUAAAGGCCAAAAUCUUUUAUGCAAUGACCUUUACAGGUCGCUUAUAUGACUUCACACAAAGCCUACGUCCAUCUGCUCCUGGUUCGGCCCUCCGGUCCAAAUUUAGAACCCAGUCCGGCCCGCGAGUCAAAAAGUUUGCCCACCCCUGGUCUAGAUGAAAUACAUCAGAACUUUUGCCUCUUUUGAUCACUUUUUCAGCAUGGCUGGCCCAUUGCAUAGUUGUUGUCACACUUGCAAAAUCUACUUCCACCAAAUGUUUCCUCACCCAGUUGCCGAUUUCAGGGCGGAAAUUCGUAAGGAGCGCAUUCUUAAGCUGUUGCUGAUAAGCACUCUCAGCUGCAUCAUUGAAUGGGAUGCCACUAUGCACCCUGAAGUCUUUUUCAAAUCUUAAGCGAAAAUCAUCAGUAUCUUCCCCAGGCUUCUGUUUAAUUCCUGCCAAAUGACCAUAAUUCGCUCGUCUUCGAAAUAUAGUUCUCACUCUUUGCACAAGAUCAUUCCAUUGUGCUGCAUACUCCCCUACCAAUUGAUUUCCCUCACCGGGAUAGGGAUUAUUGAUUGAUAUGAUUAUUUCUACCUGUAUAAUGACCUCUAACCUUUGCCCAGUCUUUUCCCAAAGAAGACAUAGCAGCUUCUCCUGCCUCAUGUCCGUUUCAGUCUAUAAGAAUGUAUGAUUCCAGCCAUGUCUUCUGCCCAUUUAUCUGGGUCUUCAGCAACAGGGGUAACCCCUUCAACUGCUUUUCUUGCCUCUUCCAAAGUCCAUGGCCGAAAAACAUACGUAUGUGGAGGUUGGCCUUCCCCUACAAUAGGGUUUGGCACCUGUAUCAUUGGGCACUAGGGGUGUAACGAUACAUUGAUACACAUCGAUUAAUCGAUAUAAUGCUCUACGAUUUAUUGGCAUCGAUGCUAAAGGUAAACAUCGAUUUAUAUCGCCGUGUUUGACCUCGGACAUUAGACGCGACUUUAUUUUGAAAUCCAGUUCAUUGUUGCUUGCUUCCUCUUUCUGGGAGCAGUGCGCUCGGCGUUGUUGUGUUGUGAGCAGAGCACGCAGGUGAAAGGGGAGGCGACAACUAGUACGCGGCUCCUGUGCUGGUGCUCUGGCUAGUGUCCAAAAAGACGAGGAAAUUUGCUCCCCUUUAGGCUUCAAGUCAUUCGUUUGGAAGCACUUUGGAUUCCAAAGAAAAGAUGGCUCAACGGACAAGACACGUGCAGUUUGUAAAUCCUGCCAUGCGGUGAUCAAAUAUUCAGGGAGCACAAAUCUCGCCGCACAUUUAAAGAAAAAACACGACAUCAAAGUUCAGUGUUAAAGUAAGCAAUUUGUAUACUACAAUACUCUUGUCAUUUCCUAAAUAAAGAGUUUGCAGUACCUUGUUGAUUUUGCGUAUGAAUUGUUAUAAAUCAUGAUAUUGUUCUAUAUUUUUAUUUAAAAAAAAAAAAAAAUCGAUCGUAGAGCAUUAUAUCGCGAUAUAUCGUGAAUGAAUCGCAGCAGGCUUUAAGAUAUCGGCAAAUAUCGUAUCGCAGUUCUUUAUAUCGAUAUUAUAUCGUAUCGUGAAAAAACCCGCGAUUUACACCCCUAUUGGGCACACAUCAUCAUUGUCCAAAUUUUGGGAAAACCUAGCAGCAGUGGUCAAACUUCUUGUUUGUACAGGACUUCUAGCAAUGUGACCCUGACUUUUUCUUCUGUUAUAUGGGGGAGGGUGCAGGUCUGUUAAACCUGGAUACAAGUUUUGCAUACGAGCGGAAGAUCUCUCUUGCUCCGCUUGAGCUGCAUUUCCAGCUGCGGCUGGAGCCGUGGCCGGGACAGUGCGCCUGCGCACUGUGGCCUCAUUGUCUUCCGGCCUGACAAACAUAGACGCAGCCUCAUCACUUCUCAACUUUCUAUCUUUUGUCUUUUGGAUUUGUUCUCUUCUCUCUUGUGAAGCACUCAACCACAUUCUAGCACAAAUCAAUUCUUUCUCUUUACUUUUCUUUUUCAGUCCCUUUGACUUCCUAUUCACACUCUCCUCCAAAACAUCAACCACUAUCUUCCAGACUUCCACUUUCAACUUUGCUUCUACUCCAUACUUUUUCUUCCACUUUGGCAUGUAUUGCAUACAAUUACGAAAUUUACUCGCCAUGUACUUCUCAUCUCCUUCAAGAGCUAGGGAUUUACCGGUGUUGUUCCCCAUCUUAAUUUGGUAUUUUAAGUUUAUACAAUUUUUUUAUUUCUUUUUUUUUUUUAUUUGAGGAUCCUCAAUGCAGGUUUAAAUUGACCUCUCACCAAAUUCUCUCUGCAGUCAAUUUAUCCUACCAGUCGCACUCUCUCAACCACACAAACACCAACGCUUUUUAUUUCUAAGCCUAUCCAGGAUGGGUGUAAAACCCUCCAACACAGCUUGGAAGAACGGACAAAAAAAAAAAGAAUCUACGCCCUUCUUCAAUUAAGAAAACGAAGCUCUGUUCCUUUUCUUAGCCCGUUCCUUCCUCUGGGACUUGAACCCAAGCCGUCUCCCGCGCUUUUUAUUUCUAGGCCUAUCCAAGAUGGGUGUAAAACCCUCCAACACAGCUUGGAAGAACGGACAAAAAAAGAAUCUACGCCCUUCUUCAAUUAAGAAAAAGAAGCUCUGUUCUUUUUCUUAGCCCGUUCCUUCCGCUGGGACUUGAACCCAAGCUGUU
This is a long non-coding RNA of Syngnathus typhle (broad-nosed pipefish), 5565 nucleotides long. RefSeq lists it as uncharacterized. The transcript is spliced from 2 exons. NCBI's taxonomy places the organism in Eukaryota, Metazoa, Chordata, Actinopteri, Syngnathiformes, Syngnathidae. The record is from RefSeq and is a predicted model, not a curated record.